Long non-coding RNA from Helianthus annuus (common sunflower), 464 nucleotides. RefSeq lists it as uncharacterized. The transcript has 3 exons. The record is from RefSeq and is a predicted model, not a curated record. Lineage: Eukaryota; Viridiplantae; Streptophyta; Magnoliopsida; Asterales; Asteraceae.
UCGAACAGAAGGCAGGGGCGACAAAGGGUUUCCUUCAAACCCUAGUUUACACACAAAAUCCUUAAAUUGAAGCCUCAAAUCUGCCCUAAAUCAAGUCUUGAACAUGAAUUAGUGAUCACCUCGUUGUAGGGAUCAAAAAGGUAAAGAAUCUGGGUCGUCAAGUGGACAAGCCGGAGGUGAUACACGCUUAAAGGGUGCGCUUUGAAGGUAAAGAUGCUCUUUAGACCCCGGAGGAUGAUCAAGCCAUGUCAAGAACCGAACACACCGAACAAAGCUUCCGCAUUUUGUCUAUUUUGUUUUAGUGACAUGUAAACACUUGAAAUUAUGUUUUGAAAGUUUAUCUAGCAUGAUGUAGACUUGAAUAUUAUGAUCAAGUAUGAUCUUAAGACCAUGAAGUUUUUUUGUAAACUCGAAAAACUUUUGUACUAAAUGCAUGAUAAAUGUCAUAAAUCCUGUUAUUUUAA